RNAcentral lists this ribosomal RNA (670 nucleotides) under Umbelopsis isabellina. Its description in RNAcentral is "eukaryotic LSU rRNA". It matches the Rfam family "Eukaryotic large subunit ribosomal RNA", at positions 59 to 651 of the family's 3401-position model. The record is from RNAcentral. Lineage: Eukaryota; Fungi; Mucoromycota; Umbelopsidomycetes; Umbelopsidales; Umbelopsidaceae.
AAGAAACUAACAAGGAUUCCCCUAGUAACGGCGAGUGAAGCGGGAAGAGCUCAAAUUUAAAAUCUGGCUUGCUUGCAAGUCCGAGUUGUAGUCUGAAGAAGCGUUUUCCAUGAAAGCUGAGGCACAAGUCCUUUGGAACAGGGCAUCAUAGAGGGUGAGAAUCCCGUCCAUGGUCUCAUGCAUUUCAUUUUGUGAUACGUUUUCUAAGAGUCAGGUUGUUUGGGAAUGCAGCCUAAAAUGGGUGGUAAAUUUCAUCUAAAGCUAAAUAUUGGCGAGAGACCGAUAGCGAACAAGUACCGUGAGGGAAAGAUGAAAAGAACUUUGAAAAGAGAGUUAAAAAGUACGUGAAAUUGUUGAAAGGGAACCGUUUGAAGCCAGUCUUGCUUACUCUGUGAUCAAUCUUAGCUUUGGCUUGGAUGCACUCUCAAGUUAUGCAGGUCAACGUCAGUUUGAGAGGUGGGAAAAAAGUUUGAGGAAUGUGGCCUUCGGGUGUUAUAGCCUCUUACUAAAUACCAUCUCCUGGACUGAGGCUCGCAGCAAAAAUGUGGGCUGGUUUGCUCCUGAGGUGAAUCAUUAUUAAGACAGCUUGCUGACUUAGUUUUGUGGAUCUUCACGGUAGGCUAGCUUCUAAUUUGCUUAGGUCGUUGACAUAAUGGCUUUAAAGACCCCA